CGGGUGAGUAAUGUAUGGGGAUCUGCCUGAUGGGGGGGGAGUAACUACUGGAAACGGUAGCUAAUACCGCAUAAUGUCUGCGGACCAAAGCGGGGGACCUCCGGGCCUCGCGCCAUCAGAUGAACCCAUAUGGGAUUAGCUAGUAGGUAAAGUAACGGCUUACCUAGGCGACGAUCCCUAGCUGGUCUGAGAGGAUGAUCAGCCACACUGGGACUGAGACACGGCCCAG
RNAcentral lists this ribosomal RNA (229 nucleotides) under uncultured bacterium. Its description in RNAcentral is "partial 16S ribosomal RNA". It matches the Rfam family "Bacterial small subunit ribosomal RNA", at positions 103 to 334 of the family's 1533-position model. The record is from RNAcentral.